Molecule: long non-coding RNA, 229 nt
Organism: Mustela lutreola (European mink)
Lineage: Eukaryota; Metazoa; Chordata; Mammalia; Carnivora; Mustelidae
Exons: 3
Source: RefSeq, a predicted model, not a curated record
CAGCAUUUUAAACGGGGUGUUGAUGAACUUGAAUGAGUAAGGGAGAGCCACCAGAAGCAAGGGGAAUUAAAACAAUGGCACUCAGGAGGGCUACAGGUCAGCACAGAUGCAAAAUCUCACAUAGCAUAUUUGUGGCAAAUAGAAAGCCCAGGAAUCCAAGGACACACCAGCAAGAGAGAGAACGUGGCUUUCAUUGGAAACUCCGACUGGACGAUGAAAUGAAGAAAAC